GAUGAACGCUGGCGGCGUGCUUAAUACAUGCAAGUCGAGCGAACAGACGCGGCGCUUGCUCCUCUGACGUUAGCGGCGGACGGGUGUGUCACACGUGGAUACUCUCCCUAUCAGUCUGAGAUAAUCUCGGGACACCGGCGCUUACCCCGGAUAAUAUAUUGCAGCGUAUGGUUCAAUAGUGAAAGACGGCUUUGCUGUAUCUUCUCGAUGGAUCUGCGCCGCAUUAGCUAGUUGUGAGGGUAACGGCUUACGACGGCAACGAUGCGUAGCCGACGUGAGAGGGUGGUCGCCCACACGGGAACGUAAACACGGACCAGAGGCCUGCGAGAGGCAGCAGAAGGGAAUCGGCCGCAAUAGGCGAAAGCCUGGCGGAACAGCGCCGCGUCAGUGAUGAAGGUCUUCGGAGCGGAAAACUCUGUUACUAGGUAAGAACAAAUGUGUAAGUAACUAAGCACGGCUUGACGGUAACUAAUCAGAAAGCCACGGCUAACUACGUG
RNAcentral lists this ribosomal RNA (497 nucleotides) under uncultured bacterium. Its description in RNAcentral is "partial 16S ribosomal RNA". It matches the Rfam family "Bacterial small subunit ribosomal RNA", at positions 28 to 507 of the family's 1533-position model. The record is from RNAcentral.